Molecule: long non-coding RNA, 4149 nt
Organism: Alexandromys fortis (reed vole)
Lineage: Eukaryota; Metazoa; Chordata; Mammalia; Rodentia; Cricetidae
Exons: 2
Source: RefSeq, a predicted model, not a curated record
GAAGAAUACCCGGGGUAGAGUCUGGAUCCGAGAAGUUCAUCCUCUCCGGAACACAGGCACUGCGAGGAAGGAGAAACGGAAGAACCUCAGCCCAGCUCCUCUUCUACAAUGUGUCACCAUCUCUGAUCCGACUCCUCUUCUAUGCUGUCUCACCAUCUCUGAUCUUAUUUGACUAAGAAUUAACUGUUCAAACCAGAAAGUCCGAUUUUUGAAAAUUCUCAAAGUUACAGAGACCGUCAAUGGCUUCUUUGUGAUGUCCAAAGGAAACUCCAUUUUCCUAAACCCUGGCAGUUAGACAAUAGCCAGCAUUCCUCAGGAAUUUGUUGAAGCCAUUGUCCCUUAUCACUGGCAGGAGUGGCAAAUGGCUAACUGUGAUGCCUGUUAGCACACCACAGAACUUGCUGACCUCCAGGUUUGCUGAUAUCAAAAGUACCCUCCCCUACCCAAUCUUAAGCUGCACCAGCUCAUGGGCUUCCCGCCCCCAGCUUCUCAUUUGCAUAUAACCCUGCUCUUGAUCCUCUCUUCCUUGAAUGCUCUUGUUCUCCCUGCUUUUGCCCCCUCCCUCAUUCUUCCUGCUUUUGGCCUUUUCUCUUGGUCUCCUUUGCCUGAACUUUAUCUUCCUCCCUCCCUCCACUCCACCAGUCUGCUGGUCAUAUUCCGUCCACUGCGUUCUCUAUCUGCUCUGAAGCUCUUCCAGAUACCUCUAACUGUCCUCUCCAUUGUAUUACAAUAGAAACCUUCCUGUCAAUCAUACCUUUGAAGAGGCACGUUGUCAGUUUAGACUUCUGGUAGCUUUACCUUCAGGUUAUCCAUCUGGUGCCGAAACACUCAGUUUAUACAUUUAUCGGAGAAUGACGCAAUAGACAAUGAGGCAGGAGGAAAAUUAAAGCAGGUUGGUGUAGAAGUCAAGAGAUUAGCAUUUGCCAGGAGGAAGUCCCUCUUCCUAACGCCAAUCCUAAAAGAGUUUUUGCCUCUGCUGACCUCCUCUAUCACCGCCUUCUGCGAGUUUUCAUUCUCCGUGUUCAUGGUCCAAUGCCAUAUUACAGUUCAUAAAUCUUAAUUACCCUGAAAGGGUCUUCAACACCCUCUCCUGUCAUGUCAGUAGUGUGCAAUCACAGUCAUCGAGCCUGGACCCAAGUGCUCCUCAGCCUCCCUUUCCAGGCACAACCCCGUCUUAAACCUACAUCUCGACUCACUUCUCAUCCAGCAUCUAAAGGCUGCACUCAGCCUAAUUUCUUGUUGUAGAAGGAGCAGGCUGUAUUCCUGGCCUGGCUAGCUUACCCCGUGAAAUAACCACACGGAAACUGUAUUAAUUUAAAUACUGCCUGGCCCAUUAUUUCUAGCCUCUUAUUGGCUAACUCUUACAUAUUUAUUUAACCCAUCUCCAUUAAUGUAUAUCGCCGCUUGACUGUGGCUUACUGGCAUGAGUCUAACCAGCGUCCAUCUCAGAGAGGAGAGCCAUGGCGUCUGCCACACUUCAUUCUUCCUCCCAGAAUUCAGUUCUGUAUUCUCCACCCAUCUAAGGGCUGCCCUAUCAAAGGCCAAGGCAGUUUUCUUUAUUCAACCAAUGAAAGCAACACAUAGAAAGAAGACCCUCCUACACCAAUUACUCUUCUUUCGUUACUGUGUUUUCAAUAGGAUGCUCUUUAUACAUUCCAUUUUGCUUUCUGGUACAGAGCUUUUGCUCAUGCUGUACCCUCCUCCCAAAUACCUUUAACUUUCACCUCUCUCCUAAAAUAUAAUUUUAUAUGGGAAACUUUAUUAUUCCCCCAAAUCAGUCAGAUCUUUCUAGUAAAUACUCUCAGCAUCACCAUGUAGAAUCAACCGUGGGGGCACAAGGAACUAGUUAAUUGGAAAGAAUUCUGUUUCUUGUUCCCCAUGGUGCUACUGUUAAGUAAGCACUCUAUGCCUUACUGAAUGAAUGAUUGAGUCACACAGCACAGUUGGAUAUGACUUUCUUGCAAGCCUAAGUCUGUGUCUAUUUUCAUGCAAUCAGCCACUGUGGGUAAUUUACAUGUUUCCAGAAAUCAAGUGACAAUGCUCCCAUGUCCUUCCAUCCUUUAUCACCUCUACCUGCUCCCAAACUUCACAAUGUCCCCAGUCAUCCUCAAGAUACUCCAUUCUUAAUCUUUGGAUUUUGUUUCAACUAGUCUUAAUUUCUCAGCUCAAACCUUGGUAUUACGCAAGACUUGUUAUCACAGACCCAUCUUUAGACUCUUUCUAGUCUUGAUUAUGUACAGAAAAAGCCUCCUAGUUCUACAGAUGUGAAUCCUGAUGCUUCCCAGCUGCCCAGCGUUCUUGCCCAAGCAGUGCAUGCCCCUUGCUUGUGGAGUUUAGACCAAGACAAGCAGUCUUUCAGUAUCACCUACCAGCUAUACUGUGGAAGUAUUCUGAAUCCAAAGGACCCAGCAUGGCAAGUGACUCCUGCCCUUCUUUUAUACCGAGUAUUGCUUCAUAUAGCUCACAUGUGAGAAGAUUAUAAAAUAAAUGUUAAAACAAAUAUUCAUUGUGUUAAAGCUAAUUUCUCAGGCUGGUACUGGAAUCCCAUCUGAUAGAGAAUUAUUUUUAUCUGAAUGGAUUAAAAAAAUAUUUAUAAAGCUCUUUACGUUGAUGCCAACAGUCUAGAGACAAGAGAAAGAUCCAAAGAUGCUUUUCAUGAGACAAGAUAAAGGUCUUGUCCUUAAGAGAAAGACAAAGAGAUAAAAAGGUGAAAUCUUUGAAAUGAGUCAAGGUCUGGUAAGGUUUCCUGGGAAUGGUGUUGCCAAAGUCCAUUUUUAUGAAGAGUGAGGCCGACCUUUCCUUUUGAAGGAGUUUGCACUAUACACCCACGUUAGCACUAAUCCUCCCUCUUCCCCAGAACUUUGAAAGCAUUUCUGUUGCUACAACAAAGUGUGGGAGGCCAGGUGAUUUAUAAAGCAUAAAGAUCCAGUCAGACCUCUUCUGAAGGCUGGGAAGCCCAAGAGCAUGGCACUGGCAUCUGUCCAUGCUGGAGAGGGCUGUCUCCUGCAUCAAGACAUCUCAGAGAGCUCCACAUAGCAAGACAGAGCAAGCCUGUUAACUUGCUCUUCCUUUGCCAUCGAUGCUAACAUGGAGGCCCCAAGCUCACUAACGAUAUAUCUAACACUAAUUACCUCCAAAACCCCACCUCAAAUAUAUUGACAAGACUUUGGGGAUCAAAUUUUCAGUAUAUGAAUUUUAAAGUGAUGUUCAUCACUGUUUUUUAAUAAAUGGAACUGGUCCAGUUUUGUUGGUGGUAGUGGGCGGUGGUGGUUGUCGUAGAUUUAAUUCACAGAGUAGACAGAGUUGUAGGGGGGAUGCCCCUCUGUAUGCUGUGAAUAUGUCUUAUAUUACCAUUGGUUAAUAAAGAAGCUGGUUUGGCAAUCACCAGGCAGAAUAGGGCCAGGUGAGAAACCCAAGCAAAGAUAAAGGGAAAAAGAAAGUGGAGUCAAGGGAGACACCAGUAACCACCAUGGAAGCAAGAUGUGAGGUAACUAGUCUUGAGCCUCGUGGUAAAAUAUGGAGUAUUAGAAGUAAGUUGAUUUAGUUGUAAGAGCUAGUCAAUAAUAAGCCUGAGCUAAUAGGCCAAGCAUUUUGUAAUAACAUUAAGCCUCAGAGUGGUUAUUUCACAAUUUCACAAGCUGCUACAGGACCAGGCAGGACAAAAAGUUCCCAAUUACAGAGCUGUGUGAGGUAUGAAUGGAGCCACAGUAGCACACAGAGAAAAGCCCGGGAGGAAGAGGCCUUAAGAAUGCAAGCUCCACUUUGUCCCUUUUAUGGAAAUUUUGAGAAAUAUUGGGAAAGCCAUUGUCAAUGGACAUGAGAUACCUCAGCUCAUCUCAUGAGAGAUGGGGGGGCCUCAGUAAAACAUAAAUAGAGACAGAAAAUUCAAAGUGUGCACCAUUAAUCCACUAUUUUUCAAAAGCUAGGUUACCUUCGCCUUCAUCUCCACACUCACAUCCAAAGAGGAAAUAGGACGCUGUGAAGAGUCAGUGCACACAACCCGGCAAGUGUGACCAAAAGAAGACAGGCUCCAUUUCCCCUCUUCACUCUGCCUCCAAGCAAAUCCUUCGACAAUCAGAGCAAUAAUGCAGAAGGGGGAAGAAAAAGAAACAAAGAAGUAUCAGAAAGGAAUAAAGGAAUUUAAAAAUA